This 1659-nucleotide long non-coding RNA is filed under the name Mytilus galloprovincialis (Mediterranean mussel). Lineage: Eukaryota; Metazoa; Mollusca; Bivalvia; Mytilida; Mytilidae. The record is from RNAcentral.
UUUCAAAUAUACUUUAACAUCUCAAAUAAAAUGUACAAAACAAACUGAACAAAAAAAAGUAAGUUUCUGUUAAAUAAAAAUAAUACAUUGGCGAAUAAAAAUCCAAGAGUUUACUGUGGUUUCAUUAUUAUUCAUGGGAGACUAAUUUUCGUAAUUAUCAUUGAUAUGCUUAUAUUUAUAAAUUAACUGUUUACAAAAUUUUGAUUUUUUGAAAUAUAAGCUUUACUCAGCAAAUUCUAGCUGAUUUGGCAAAACUUUUAGGAAUUUUGGUCCUCAACGCUCUUCAACUUUGUACUUUAUUUGGCCUUUUUAAAUUUUUUGGAUUCGAGCCUCACUGAUGAGUAUUUUGUAGACGAAACGCGCGUCUGGCGUAUAUACAAAAUUUAGUCCUUGUAUCUACGAUGAGUUUAUUUCGUGGAUUUCAUUUGAACCAUGAAUUUAAAUAUUCAACCAAGUAGAGAUUUGCUUUUGGGUUACAUGCAAACUUGGACAAAACUACAGAAUCAAUUUCCACAAAAUUGCAAGAUUCCUUAAUCCACAAAAAUUGGUAUCCACGAAAAUAACUGAAUCCACAGUAUGUAAAAUUAUCUACUUUUCUUGUUCUAAAACUCAUUAAAUUAUAAAGGAGCUUGAUGAUAAUAUUAUGACCUACCAUCUACUAGCCAUAUAAAUUCUAUAUUUAGCAACGUAACUAAAUUUGAGUAUUGCACCUACCCCAAGUAACAUAAAUCUGACAAUGAUAUUAUGCUGAACUCAAUACUAUUUACAUCAGAUCCCUAUGUAACCAUGGUAACAAUCAGAUCAACUGCUUCAAUGUUUAUGGUUUGUUGGUGAAAAAUACACAGAAUUUUUCUGCAAUUACAUUUAAUCCUUGUGCUUUUAAUAACAGCCUUUAAUAGAAAAACAUUCGAAAGAGACAAUAUUGAAUAAAUAAACUGAUUUUUGUCAAUUCUACAGUAUGUUUGAAUUUUAUGCCAUUUAAAAGAUACUUUAAAUAAAGAAAGUGCCAAACUGCAAAAACCAAAUCCUGUUAAUUCUUUGUGUCAACAUUUGUAAUCCGACUAGUCUGAUUUAUUGACAACUGUGAUUUUUGUUUUUUAAAACUAUCCAAAAUUACUCUUGAAAUAAGUCUACUUUUAUUUUUCAUAUUACUACAUUUUUGAUGUUCAUGAUAUCUUGGUCCAAUCUUGGAAUGCCUGAAAUAAUAUUGAAUUUUAACAAUUUCUAAUAUUUCAUAUUUAUGAAAACCUCUCUUUAAACAUUAUGUAAAUUUAAUUUUGAUCUGAAACAAUGACAACUGUAAGAUUUACAAGUGGAUCAAUCAAUUCCCUUCAUUCAAUGAAGACAGUAUUUGACCAAUCAAUUCCCUUCACUCAAUGAAGACAGACAGUAUUUAACCAAUCAAAUCUCUCGACUCAAUGAAGACAGACAGUUUUAUGAAUCAAUGACUAGUUUAGCACUGCACCAUUGUAUGGAUUUCAUUGUGUGAUGUCAGAUUUAUUUUACCCAGGUUUUCGUCACAAAUAUUCACUCAUUUAGUUCUUAUAUUAUAAUAAGUAAUAAAAUUGUGAAUAUAUGAGUGACCAUUAUCUACAUACAUUUUUACAUAACAAAAAUACACAAUAUAUAUAAAUAACAUUCACUUUUUAUCUUUUUUUU